Molecule: non-coding RNA, 484 nt
Organism: Paramisgurnus dabryanus
Lineage: Eukaryota; Metazoa; Chordata; Actinopteri; Cypriniformes; Cobitidae
Source: RefSeq, a predicted model, not a curated record
GUUGCUUACAAUCUGUGUGUUUGUUGUAGUCCAAGAUCGCAUCAUCAUUUACCUUGGGGGGGAGAUUUCCAUUCAAAGGAGCUUUUGUUUGGACUGAUGAUUGUACACAUCCCUGCAAACAAAAUCAGUCCUGAUUACUUUCUAGGUCAAUUUUCCAGAAGAAUAUGUAAGAAUAUAGUUGAGGUGAGCCGAGAUCUUGGAGAGCAGAAAUGAAAAAGGGUUGUACACACGCUAAGACAGUUCUUGAGAUGAGAGCGCUCUGGAGACGGUCUCUUUAUGUAGACAAGGACCACUGAGCCUUUCUGCUUAUUAGUGGAGAGAAUUGGGCGUCUACAUAAAGCAGGACUGAAGGAGCUUGGUGGCUGUAUUGAGCUGUUGUUUCCCAAAGCAUUACUUUGUGCAUUUGUGUCAUUCCCGUAGCUCUCGUUAGACUUUAUUUUGCAUGACCUCACUACUCAACAAAUGUCUUUAUUAGGUAAGCCAA